UCUCCGUUGGUGAACCAGCGGAGGGAUCAUUACAGAGUUUUCACAACUCCCAACCCUUGCGAACCGUACCCAUUCUGUUCUCGUUGCUUCCGGCGGGGGGGACGGGGGGGCCCGAAACGGCCUCCCCGCCCCGCCCGCCGGGGGCGGCGGGCCCUACGAGCCUUUAUAUCUCAACUACCAGAAACCGUCUGAGAAAACAAACAAAAUAAUCAAAACUUUCAACAACGGAUCUCUUGGCUCUG
RNAcentral lists this unclassified non-coding RNA (242 nucleotides) under plant metagenome. RNAcentral's name for it is "partial contains small subunit ribosomal RNA, internal transcribed spacer 1, and 5.8S ribosomal RNA". The record is from RNAcentral.